GACGAACGCUGGCGGCGUGCCUAAUACAUGCAAGUAGAACGCACAGUUUAUACCGUAGCUUGCUACACCAUAGACUGUGAGUUGCGAACGGGUGAGUAACGCGUAGGUAACCUGCCUGGUAGCGGGGGAUAACUAUUGGAAACGAUAGCUAAUACCGCAUAAUAUUAAUUAUUGCAUGAUAAUUUAUUGAAAGAUGCAACUGCAUCACUACCAGAUGGACCUGCGUUGUAUUAGCUAGUAGGUGAGGUAACGGCUCACCUAGGCGACGAUACAUAGCCGACAUGAGAGGGUGAUCGGCCACACUGGGACUGAGACACGGCCCAGACUCCUACGGGAGGCAGCAGUAGGGAAUCUUCGGCAAUGGACGAAAGUCUGACCGAGCAACGCCGCGUGAGUGAAGAAGGUUUUCGGAUCGUAAAGCUCUGUUGUAAGAGAAGAACGGGUGUGAGAGUGGAAAGUUCACACUGUGACGGUAUCUUACCAGAAAGGGACGGCUAACUACGUG
RNAcentral lists this ribosomal RNA (505 nucleotides) under uncultured bacterium. Its description in RNAcentral is "partial 16S ribosomal RNA". It matches the Rfam family "Bacterial small subunit ribosomal RNA", at positions 28 to 507 of the family's 1533-position model. The record is from RNAcentral.